GACGAACGCUGGCGGCAUGCCUAACACAUGCAAGUCGAACGAGAAAGUCACUUCGGUGGUGAUUAAAGUGGCGCACGGGUGAGUAACGCGUAGACAAUCUGCCCUUCAGUCUGGGACAACUUUUCGAAAGGAGAGCUAAUACCGGAUAACAAUGUUUAACAUAAGUUAGAUAUUUAAAAGCUUUAUGUGCUGAGGGAGUGGUCUGCGUCCCAUUAGCUAGUUGGUGAGGUAAAGGCUUACCAAGGCAACGAUGGGUAGCGGGUUUGAGAGGACGAUCCGCCACACNGGAACUGAGACACGGUCCAGACUCCUACGGGAGGCAGCAGUGGGGAAUAUUGCACAAUGGAGGAAACUCUGAUGCAGCAAUGUCGCGUGAGUGAAGAAGGCCCUUGGGUCGUAAAGCUCUUUUAUGGGGGAAGAUGAUGACCG
Molecule: ribosomal RNA, 429 nt
Filed under: uncultured SAR324 cluster bacterium
Lineage: Bacteria; Deltaproteobacteria
Description: bacterial SSU rRNA
Rfam family: Bacterial small subunit ribosomal RNA
Source: RNAcentral